GCAAGUGGUAGGAAGCCGAAACGGUGACGACCCUCGGGAGCUUGCACAGGUGCUGCAUGGCUGUCGUCAGCUCGUGUCGUGAGAUGUUCGGUUAAGUCCGCUAACGAGCGCAACCCUCGCUGUGUGUUAUAUGUGUCACACGGGACUGCCGGUCUUAAGCCGGAGGAAGGUGGGAUGAUGUCAAGUCAGCAUGGCCUUUAUAUCCUGGGCUACACACACGCUACAAUGGCCAACACAAUAGGUUGCUAAGCCGCGAGGUGGCGCCAAUCCAUAAAGUUGGUCUCAGUUCAGAUUGUAGGCUGCAACCCGCCUGCAUGAAGAUGGAGUUGCUAGUAACCGCAGGUCAGCUAUACUGCGGUGAAUACGUUCCCGGGGCUU
This 378-nucleotide ribosomal RNA is filed under the name uncultured Leptolinea sp. RNAcentral describes it as "bacterial SSU rRNA". It matches the Rfam family "Bacterial small subunit ribosomal RNA", at positions 988 to 1382 of the family's 1533-position model. The record is from RNAcentral. Lineage: Bacteria; Bacillati; Chloroflexota; Anaerolineae; Anaerolineales; Anaerolineaceae.